This is a long non-coding RNA of Populus euphratica (Euphrates poplar), 288 nucleotides long. RefSeq lists it as uncharacterized. The transcript is spliced from 2 exons. Lineage: Eukaryota; Viridiplantae; Streptophyta; Magnoliopsida; Malpighiales; Salicaceae. The record is from RefSeq and is a predicted model, not a curated record.
CCAAUAGCAAACUUAUCAAAUCAGUGGGCGAAAUUGACAUGAUGGUAAAGGAAAAGAACAAAGCCUCAAGAUCAACAAGAAUAAUCUCAGAUGCAGAUUCAUGUCCCAACGGGGCAUGGACAAAUUAAAAGUUCUAUCGAGAACAUCCAUGGUACAAGUUUCAUGACAAAUAACUUGUACAGUCUGUUGCCAGUCCAGUCAGGUCAUGGCUCCAAUUAGAAAGUGGAAGAUCUCGGGUCAAAAUCACAUUAUUGAUUGUUUACAUGGAAAAAGAAAAAAGAAAAAGGA